CCCAAAGAAAAAAACAAAUGUUACCCAAUAGGCAAACAAUGCUGAGAGUUCACUUCCUCUAACUCUGUAGUUAAGUUACUCACUCAGUAUAACAUCACCCUCCUGCCAGGGGUUGAAGUCAGGAAGUAGUUUAUUUUCGCUGAAACUGAAGGGGGAAGUUAAAGAGAAAAAUAGCUGCAACUUGGUCAAUUCAGGAAAACCAGGUACGAAAAAAGAGGAGCAAGUUAAAGGGAAAGCCAGCUCGGAUUUGCUCACCAGUAAAAGGCAAAAAUCCCAGUGUUAUUCAUCUGCAUUUGGUGUGAAAGACAAAAGCUCAACUGGGAUCUGAGGCUUUCUGUGUCAGAGGGCAAGGAGUCAAUGGGGUUAUGAGGAAGUAAGACCACUUGAGACAUCAAAGAAAAGUAGAUCAAAUCACUAGACUCCUCCAAACAGGAGUGGGUGAAGACAAAAAGUGGAGAGAAUCCAGAGGGAAGAGAGGAGUAGGGAAAAUGGUGGAAAGGGAAGGUUUUUGAGAUGGAAGGCAGAGAAUGGGAACAAAAGAAGAAAAAGCUGUUUGUUUCAAAUCAAUAUUCUCCAAGAGGAUGUCUUGUUUCCCCAGGGAUAUUCUGAGGGACUCACAGGAUCAGAGCUGCGACACUUCUAACAUAUGAAUUCUCUCAAUUCUGAUGCCCUUUGACCUCUGCCACACAAUGCCAAGACAAACCCAGACCCCAGGCCCUGGAAACAGAGGAGGGGCAGGUUUUCUCAGAGUUAACUUUCUCUAACCUUGAAGCCGAAUCCAGGGGCAGGAGCAGGAGUCAACUCUGAGAAGCAGAUUGACUGGCAAGCCUAUCACCACCUUGAUAACAGAUGACAUUAAAGAGAAAGUAUCAAUGUGAGGAUUAAAUGGGAUGAAAAAUAAAACAUCUGUCGGAGUGCCUGGAAUAUGAGCCUAGUAGAGCACCCAGCACACAGUAGGCUCUUAAUACAUGCUUGGGAUGAUUGAGGCAUUUUCUUCCACCAUAUUCCAUGAUCUUCUAGCCCUGGGGGUGCAGAGAGAUUACCUGGCCAAGAAGACUAGGGGUACACAAAUAUCCAAGAUUGGAAAGAAGAAAGAAAAUGACGACAGAAUUUUGCAGUCUACAAGGCAAACACUGCCAUUCAUGUAGUUAUGGAGUUCCUACUAUGUGCAGACAAUGGGAAACUUUACGAAGGUGAGCAGACAGGGAUCUCACACUCCUACUAUGUGUAGAGCAAUGGGAAAUGUGUGGCAAUAAGGUAAAGGUCUUUUAUUUCAAAAUAUUUUAGCAUAGAAGGAGAAAUGUCUACUUGAACAAUGAACAAAAUACCUUAUCGAAACAAGUCUGUAGAAAUCUGUUUAAUUAGAAAAGCAUAAAAGUUAUUACUCUUAGCUGAGUGGUAACUGAUUUGAUUCAAGUUGUCUAAAAUUUUCAUUGCAGAUUUUGAAGCUUGAUAAAGCCAUAAUUUGAAGACUACUUCAUUUCCUUAAUGCUCAACCUAUUUAUCACUUGUAAUUCAGAAAGGAUUUUUAAAAGACAAGAAAUAAUUUUUUAAAUGUUAUGCAUGUGCCUUUUAAAAAAUUCCUUUUAGCCUUGUGCCUCCCACUAAAACUUCGUUUCUCAAGUUCCUUGGCCCAGGCUGUAAGUGACAACUAGCAAUCCCAUUCCUCUGCCUUAUAAAGUCUUGGAAGAAAACAAAUUCAAGAUCACUUUCCCCCCAGCCACUUAAGAGAAAGAGAUAGAUUUUAGGGUAAUGAUUAGAGGCAUCUAAGACCUACUACAGUAUUUCUAACCAUGAGAAACCAUUACUAUUUUAAAAUAAUGGUGUGUAGAGGAUUGGUCACUAUUCCUUUAGUAAUGAAAUUUACUAUUGCAAAAUUUUCUUGCUAAUGCUAGUUAUCAACUACUUAUCAAGAAAAUCAAGUGACAACAUUCAUACCAAUCCCUUUAAUUUCAGUAAGCCAAAACCAACAAGACUUAUUCACCUGUCACUUGGCAUUACUUUCUCCUUCUGUCAAAGAAGCCUCAGGGUUUUUUUCACUUAGGCAUUUCCUUAAUAAUAACUAUUCUAAUAUCCAAAUUGCAUAUACUAGUCAUUGUUGGGUAGCUAUCCCCAUAACCUGAAUACUUCCAGGCUUCGUUCCUAUGUGAAGUCUUAGUAAUGUUACCGUCCAAACUACGGCAGCCCUUUACCCUCCUCAUCACCAAACUACGGCAGCCCUUUACCCUCCUCAUCAUGACUGGAGGAGCUCAGCAUGCUCUCAAGCCGCCUUCCAUCUGUUCUAGGCAUCCCACGGUGGCUUCUCCAGAGAGCUCAGAAAUAUGUCUGCUCCUGUUCCCAUUUUCCUGCUCUUUCCUCCAGGAACCUCGACGUAGCCUGUUCCCAAUGCCCUCUGUGGAAUCAGCCAGGUCCAUGCCACAAGUAUGAAUUGUUUCCAGUGCGGCAGUCCUGGGAGUGCCUGAGCCACAAGCCAGUGUCCCCUACUCAGUUGUGCCCUGUGGGGACUGAAGCAGGACUAUAUUCUCACAGGCUCUCCUAAAAGCUGGGCUGCCAGCUUCUAGCUCUACUCCUUUCUCAAAGUGGCCCAGGCCAUCUCUCAGACCAAGGGUAAAUGCUAUGCCAGUUCCACCUGUUGUCUUUGUGUGCAUAAAUCUCAUUCUUUGUGCUUUAUCUCAAAAAAAAAAUCAACUCAUAGGAUUAUAAUCUCCUGAAGAGAUUCCACAGCCCACCAGUCCUACAAAGUCAGACAUAGAGGGCCAGUUUAGGCAUAUAUAUAUAUACACACACACACACACACACACACACAUUUAUAUAUAAACAUAUAUAUGUAAACUCUACAUGUGUGUGCAUAUAUAUAUACAUACACAUAUAGAGAGAGUUUAUGUUUAUAUAUACAUAUAAAUUAUAUAUAGAAUUUCUAUAGAAAUACAAACUAUAUAUAGAAUUUAUAUAGACAUAUAUAAAUGAUAUGUCUAUAUAAACAUAUAUAUGAACUCUGUCUCUCUCUAUAUAUAUAUAUUUUAUAUAUAUAUUAUAUAUAUAUAUUUUAUAUAUAUGUAUUUUAUAUAUAUAUAUAUAAAACUCAUGUUAUAUAUGACAAAUCCCAUAUAUAAUAAAUCAGUGGUGGGGUAUGGUAAUUCAAAAAAAUGAAUAUGGUUUCAGAUGGAAAUUAAUUUAUAUGGCCAAGACUGUUAAUUAGGCUUUUGUUGCCUUUAACCUAAGAGUAAGGCCAGCAUCUGUGGUUAUGAGCAAAUACUUAAGGCUAUGGUAGCUGCAAACACUUGCAGCCCUGGGUCGAAGGACAAAGGCUAGAAUAAAUUCCCUACCAAACGCUCAGAAGUGAUAUUAUGCAAAGAAGAUGUAUAUUUUAAUAAAUAUUUGUGGAAUGCCUAUUACUUGCCAGGAACUAAGGACACAAAAGGAAUUAAAGCACCAGGUCAGUCCCAAAACAGCAUGAAAUUUGCACCCAGGCAGAUCUGGGUUCAAGCCCUAGUUCUGUCCCUUGCUAUUGCUUCUUCUAUGACCUUAAGAAUCUUCAAGAUGGAGUUCUCAAGAGGCACAAGUAUGACAGUGUACAUGGAAUUACUUGCCAUUAGCACAGAUGUUUGUCGUGUAUUCAUUUAUGAGUAAAUAAUUAUUGAGUGACAACUAUAUCCCAGGCAUUGUUCCAAGAAUUAGAGUUACAGCAGUAGACAAGAAAGAAUGUCUCAUAAUAAUGAAAUGAAGCUAACUUUAUUACAUUUAUAUCACAGUGAAAUCAACCAGGUCAAAGGAAAUGAUUCUUACCCUGUGUCACUCCAAAAGAUCUUAUCCAAAAUAAAAUGAUGUAUUUUUUAAUUUCCAAAAAUAGAUUAAAUUAAGUUGAGGUCUCUACCUGUACAGUGGCAGGAGAGAUGAAUCAGCACCUUAACAAUUUAUUUUGCUCACCUCCUCCUUCAUUCUGUUCUCUACUCUUUCCCUCAAUUGGUAGUUUUUGUCCCUGGAUGGCCUCUCCUCACACUUUUGUGUGGACAGACAUGAAUGUUCAGUUUUGUGUGUAGUGUGUGUGUGUGUGUGAGAGAGAGAGAGAGAGAGAAAGAUAACUGAGAGUGUGCACGUGUGUCUGCAAGAACAAUGGUAGAAAUCCAUGAUCCUUUGAAGAAAUUUAACCUGGGUUAAUUACUCAAAAUCCUUAUAUUCAGAACCUUCCAUAUUGAAGCUUCCCUGAUCUUUCUCUGCUCCAAUAGCUCAUAGCAAUGCCUGAAUGCUUUGUUUCUUAAAGAGGAGUUUAUAUUUAUAGAGAAGUUGUAAAGAGUCUCCAUAUACCUGCACCUAAUUCCCCUGUUAUCAGGAAUUUGCACUAGUAUGGCACAUUUGUUAUCAUUAAUGAACCAAAACGGAUAUUAUUAUUGGCUAAAGUUCAUGCUUCAUCUAGGUUUCCCAACUUCCCUGAGGUCCUUUUCUUGUGCCAGAAUCCCAUCCAGGAGACCACAUUACAUUUAGUCCUCAUGACUCUUAGACUCUUCUUCUUGGCUGUGAUAGUUUCUCAAACUUUUCUUGAUUUUGAUGACCCUGACAGUUUGAGAAGUAUUGGUCAGAAAUUUUUGUAGAAUGUCUACUGGUUGGAAUUUGUCUGGGGUUUUUCUCAUGAUGAAACUGAGGUCAUGGGUUUUUGGGAGGAAGACCACAGAGGCAAAGUGCCAUUCUCUUCCCAUCAUACCAAAGGUACAGGCUAUCAACAUGACUAACUUAUCAUUAUUGAUUUUUACCAUGAACACCAGGCUGAGAUAGUCUGAACAUCCUUUUUAACAGAGAUUUUUACCAAUUAUUAUAUUUGUAUUCCCAAACUGCUUCAAAGAUAUUUAUCAAGAAAUCUCAAAAUAGCCUCUUAUUUUUACCUAAAAUUCAUUCAUCCCUUAAUUUUCACUGAGAAAAUAUAUUGAGUCUACUAUCAAAUGCCAGGCACUGAGGAUACAGGCAUAAAUAAAACAUGUUCCUACUUUCAAGAGCUCAUGGCCCAGUCUAAUGCAAGAGAGACUUGUAAAAAUGUAAAGAAGGAUCCAAUGAGUUAAGGGACACUGUUUAAGGAAUAAAAGGAACCCUGAGAGGUAUAGUUAUCAUUUCCGUGAGGAGCUAGGAGGAGGGAAAAUCUCCUUCCUAGAGAAAGGGACUCCUAAGCUGAUCUUGAAAGGUACAUAGGAUUCUGCCAAGCAGAAGAGAAAUCAUGUGCAAAGCAGGUGUGUGUUCAUGAAAGCUGGUUUUAGAGAAGUGGCGGGGAAGGAGGAUGAAGUGGUAGGUAGAGAUCGUGGAGAGCCCAGUUUGCAUUUUGAAUUGUGUGGCUCUCAGGCUGCUAGAGUCAAAGUAUUAGAAGGUAAAGGCAGGCUUCUAGCAGGUUCCACAUCUGAAGCAGGAGUAAUAGUUGGUCAAGUAGUCUUCCCUGAAGGCUUGGAGACAGGGCACUAGAGUAGCACACCUCUAUACACAGAUAGGAUCUGUGCCUCAGCUCUGGCACAGAUUUCUCUCUCUCUCUCUCUCUAACACACACACACACACGCACACGCACACACACAAACAUACACACACACAGAGGGAGAGACAUAUUUGCCACAUAUCCAUUCUCUAAGAGCUGCCAACCCAGACUGACAAAUCUUUAGAAUUUACUACUUUGUCUCUUUUUUCUACACCUUGGCAGUGGAUGGAGCAGCAUCAGCCAUGGCUCAGGAAUGCAGCCGCCUACUUUCCUGUUAUCAGCAGGCAUUCCUGUGGUUACACUAUUCCUGCUUAGCUUAUCAAUGGCCCUUGGGAACACAGAGUCAGCACCCAAAGAGGGCCAGAACAGCCUGCUUGUUGGACGCCCAUCCACACCAUGAGGCUUUCCUGGAUGUAGAGGGAAGUUACUGUUCCUCGGGAAAACCCCUCUUCCCAGCUGGUAUGAAUGCUUUAGCUUAAGAAUCUGCCUCAUGUGUUUCAUACUCAGAGACACGACCCCCUAAUCUUUAUGUGUGAAAACUUCCCGUUGAUACCAAAAGGAGCUUUUCCUAGGAUAUCACUGACCCAGGGUAAGACACAGUGAGUGAAGUCUGUGCAUUUUGUUAGAAGAUUAAAUAUCCAUUAUAUCCCCCCAUAUUCUUCCUCACCCCAACAUAUCUCUUUGUCUCCAAGUUUUAGAACUUCUAGAAUAUAAAAUAUAAUGUAUGAUAUAUAGUCAUAUAACAUCUAGUAUUCCCUCAAUAGCAUUCCAUCAUCAGAAUAAAGUACAAAAUCUGCCAUCCAUCAUGAGAGACCUUUUAGGAUCAGGAUGCUGCCCUGCUCUCUAGCCUCAUCUGUCCUCACUACCUGCUUGGCCAUUGAUGCUCCAUCUUCCUGAACUACACCCCAGAAACUCAGCAAUCAGGCCAUGUUCUCUCUUAUAGCAUUGCUUUUGACAUGCUGGUCUCUCUGCUUGGGUUCCUUUCUUUUUGGGAUUUUUCCAUCCAUCUUUGUCUGGCUAACUCCUGAUCUGCCUGCACCAUCUUUCGGAACUUUGAGAUGGGUGCCCCUCAUUUGUGCUAUCUUUGCUUAUUCUUGAAGCACCUUAGGCUUCCUCUCUCAUGACGUAUCUAAGUGGCCUGCAGUGGUCUACCUCUUCAACCUCACUCCCUGGGACCAUAUCUUAUUGCAGAGGGAUGUGACUGAGUGCAGCAGGCCAGUCAUCCUUCUGCUCUACCAUGCACAGGGCAUGGCCGUUUCUUCCUCGUGCUUGCUACCCCAUGAUUGCAAGAUGGUUGCUGUACUUCAAAGAAUCACAUCCUCACUUCAGGGUCUCAAGCAGGAAGGAAGGGGGCUAUGUUUUCUUUUUAAUCAAGGAGGAAAAAAGAAGCCCCAGGAAGAAUUCCUCUAUGCCAUAUUGGCCAGAACUGAGUCAUAUGGCCAUGUCUUGCUGAAAAGAAGGCUAAAUAGCAAGUAUCUGGCAAAGCAGAAAGAAUUGUCACAAUGGGUUGGAUCAUGAUUCAUGAGCUGGUACAUAGCCCACUGAGGCAAACUCGGGAUUUUGUUAGGCAGAAAGAGGUUAUAGCUUUUGACCUGUCAAGUAAUAGUAUCUACCACAUUGAAUUCCACUUUAGAAAACAUAGAUACAAAACACACUCCUGAAGAUUGCACCAACAGGAGGCAAAAUUUAAGGAGCAAGAGAAACUAUACAUGUAAGUGAUAAAAUAGUAAUAUUUAUCUGUUGGGACUCAAAUAGGUGUUUUGUCCCAGAAUUAUCUCAAUUCAUCAAGACUUCUUUGAAACUCCUUGCCCAUGCUUAGCCAUUUAUUCUAGGUAGAACAGUAAACGAAUCUCCAUUCUUAGAAAAGGUGGGCCUAGCUUCAUAGAACCGCACACAGCCCUAUUAUGUAAUAUAGCUUGGAAACUGUAUGAGCUAGUAAGUUUGAUUUGAUAUGUUUGAAAGUUUGGCAAAGCCUUAGUGAUAGGUUUGGGCAAAAAAAAGAUGAAACUCCAUAAUUAUUGUUUCCAUUAGCUAAAUCCAUCAGCUGCAGAUUUGGAGAAUACUUGUUUCAGGUAUUUGGUGAGCGACUCUCUUCUCUGAAGGUAUUCAAUCCCAAAGUGCACAUCAAAUCAUUUCCACUAAAACGCAUAAAGGUCUUGGUCAAAUGUGACUCAUGUGUAUUUAUCUUAUCCUUUUGCUGAAAUGAUUUCACCCAAACUUAAAAUAGAUAGAGGUUAGUUGACUCAGAAAAUUAGUGCACAGGAUGAAUAAAGAUAGUAUCAUGAGCUGGACAUCCAUCAGGUCAAUGCAUACUGCUCACUGAUAGCUUCCCCACCAACCUCUGUACUAUACCAUCACUGUUUUGCUAUCCUUCAUCCAUCUGCUAUGGAUGUAUCAUUUUUUGGUCCUCAGGCUAACAAUUUUCAUAGGAUUUAGGAUAGAAGUCAAAAUCGGAGUGUGCCAGAAAGUGAGGAUUAAAGGACGCAGGUCUCCAGGAUUUGUUCUCUCAUGGAAAGAACCCAAAAACCUGUCUCUGAAUUUGCUUCUUCCCUGCAAAGUAAAACAGGAUCAGGCCCUGGUCCCAGUUAGGAAUAUGUGCCCCCUCUAUCCCCUAUCCCCUUAGAAGCCAAGUGGGAACCAGAAAGAGGCAGUGGGAAAGGAGGAACCUGGGACAGCUUCCAGUCUAAGUAGGUGUUUGGGGAUUCUCCACGAGGUCCAGGUUAGAUCCCCAAGGAAAUGCACAGAACUACUGGUCAAAGACACAGAUAAUAGUAAAGUGCUUGUGUUUGCCACACAUUCUCUUCUGUGCAUAUGUAUUCCUUGGAGGUUUUUCAGGGAAGUGUGGUAGGCCAAGGAUGGGAUCUGAGAGUUUCUAGAUCACCUAACUAAUUACCAUUUCCUACUUUUUCAACCAUUUAUUUCCAGCUCGUUCCUCCUACAAAGCCAGUAAUCUGGCGCUGUAUACCCUUGAUUAUAGCAGGGAAAGACUACAAAGCAUUCUGAUGUAAAGACACAUGCACAGAUAAUGUAGUAAAAAGAAUAUAGAUUAGCAACACAUAGGUCUGGGUUUAAAUCUCAGUACAGCUGCUUUUUCAUUCUGUGACCUUGGGUAAUUUAUAUAUUAGCCUCUCUGAGCCUCAGUUCCCUUACUGAGUCAGUAACACUUACCUCAGGGAGUUAGUAUGAGGAUUAAAUGUAUAAAUGAAAUAAUUAACCACUUAUAAAAUGUGCCAGACAUCUAAUGUGUGUUCAACAAGUCUUAAUCUCUUAAGUGAACAUUCUUACUAGAAAACUAACUCACAACUCUAUUGAUGGUAAGCAAUAGAAAGGUAUUCCUAUAAAAAGACACUCAUCUUAUUUAUACAUAAACAAUAGGAAAAGAUGGCGACAAUGACCUUGCAUUUCUAGGCUAGUUUUGUCACCAUAAUAUAAAUUAAUUGAAACAGACAAACUACAUUAACCAAGUAUUUAUUGUUUUUAUUUCAGGGUUUUAAAAAGCAGCAGGUUUAAGAGCUGACCAUAUCUGAAAGACUCUAGAAUAGCAGAGGAUUGAUUAAAGGUCUGUGGCCACAGAUUGGAUGUGUUGAUUUUAUUUCCCCAAAGGUAUCCACAUAGCAACUUGGCAGUACACACAUAUCCCAAAUAUAUGUACACAGUGUUUACAGAAAAUACUAAUUGUACCCUUACCUAAAAUGUUAGGUCCCAUUUUCAUUUUAAAGACUCAUUAUGCUUUUCAUGAACUAACACUUUUGUUCAUUUCAAUUCUGUCAUGAAUUCGAAAGAAGGACACAGCAAAUAGGUACUUAACUAAAGUAAGUGCUUUCUCCCAUGGUUUUAUCAAUCCAAGUCUAUGGACAUAAUACAGAAUCAAGAAUCCAAGGAAACUGCUCUGAAUUUCACUGUAAGCAUAGCUCAUUUUUUUGACCUGUUGAUUGCAGUUAAUUUAACGUCACGACCUGCACCUCAGAAUCUCUCAUGUCCCCUGCAGCUUUGUCAAGAUGCUUUGUAUAUAGCUGGUACCCAGAGAAGGUUUGCCACAUUGCACGGAGUUGAUCACCCAUUUUAUUCACUGGAUUUGGCUUUGAGCAACUUACACUUUUUUCUCUCCAAAAAUUAAGUCCACCCACGAAGGAAAAAGGCAGAAGGAUGCUGUGGCAAAAAUGCUAUCCUGGAAAACAGAUCUUGGCCCUGGUCCCAGCUCUCUGUGACUUUGGACACAUCAGUUGAUCUUUUUAGAUCAAAUUUCCCCAUAAAAGGGGGUACUAGACAAGAUGCAUGUGCCAGACUGCCAAGGCCAAGGCACACCCUAAGCCACUCAUAGUAAUAUCCCUGGAACUGUAGACCCUUGCAGAGAGAUUAUAGAAGUGAUUUUGAAUAAUUAUUGAGUUAAGUGCUAGCAUUCCAGCAUGACCGCUUCAAAAGAGGUAAUGCAUAUUUUUUUUUGUAUUUUUUUGGCUUUUUUUAAAGUUACAUUACUUUAGUGUUAUAUGUCAUAUAGUCAUUAGGAAUUCCAAGAGAGCAAAUGUCAACAAAGGUCUGAAGUUGUUUGGCAUUUUAUCAAUCAUUAUUUAGAGUUUUCUUUUUUUCUUUUUUUUUUCUUAAUGUGGUUAGGGACACAGAGGUUCAUGUGAUGUAAUAAGAAAGAAAUAAAGGAAGCUUUAUCUGCCGCUCUUUCAACCUCAUCCACUCAACACUUACCCCGUGACAGACCCCAAUACUCUUAAUGAAUUCCCAAGGUUACGAAAGAACUUGGAAGAUCUUACAUUCCUACAUGGUGAUUACAGAGGCUCACAUUUUGCCAAGUCAUAUGCAGGUGGCUGAAAAAUGUGAUCUAACGUCCUUGAACACAUUUAUUACAAUCCAUCAUCUACAUGGCAACAGUCAGGGCCAUGCUCAUAAACCAGAACUGGUGCUAGAUCUGGAGAAAACGGAGAUGAGCAAAGGCAAUAUUUGGCUUAUUUGUUAUAACCCUAAUAAAACAAGACUGCUUGAAGAAAUAGACCAAAUUGUGGAAUGUUUAACAUUGAUCCAGGACUGGCUCUUCUGAGGAAAAGAUAUAAUAUUUAUCAUGUGGCCAAUUUUGUCUGUGAAGAUAAGGAGGAACUAAUCGGUCUCAACUUCAUGAUGUUGCUUAAAGGAGCAUAUAAAUGUACGAUCAUAAGUAUCCUUUAAAUGAAGGGGUUGGUUUUAUGACUGCAGAAGUGAGAAAGAGUAAGGUCAUUUAGCCUGAGCAACACAGCAAAACCUUGUCUCUACUAAAAAUUAAACAAAACAACCAAAAAAUCACUCAGGUGUGGUGGCGCAUGCCUGUGGUCCCAACUACUCAGGAGGCUGAGGUGGGAGGAUUGCUUGAGCCUGAGAGGUGGAGGUUGCAGUGAGCCUUGAUUGCGCCACAGCACUCUAGCCUGGGUGACAGAGCAAGACUGUCAAAAAAGGAAAGAAAAGAAAGAAAAGAAAAAGAAAGAAACUAAAACAGAAAGAAAAGAAAGAAAGAAUGGGAGAGAGAGAGGAAGGAAGGAAGGAAGGAGAAAGAAGA
RNAcentral lists this long non-coding RNA (10985 nucleotides) under Homo sapiens (human). RNAcentral's name for it is "long non-coding RNA NONHSAT200530.1". Lineage: Eukaryota; Metazoa; Chordata; Mammalia; Primates; Hominidae. The record is from RNAcentral.